UUUGCAUCAUAGAUGAAUGUGCUUUCAGCAAAGGAGUCCUUUGCUUGUUGAAUUCUCACUCUUGCAGCGACUUCACUCAUCCUUGAGAAAGCUUCCUGUGCCCGUUACUGAUGCCGCCACCCCACAGGCAUAUUUAUCCAGCAUGCCCAGACAGAAGCAAAAUGCAAGUUGUAAUUGCCAGUGCUUUGCAGAGUUGGUUUCCUAACCAAACACAGAAUAGCUUGCUUGCUUGCUUUUCUUUCCCUCCCUCCCUUCCUUUUCUCUUUUCUUUCUCUCCCU
RNAcentral lists this long non-coding RNA (279 nucleotides) under Homo sapiens (human). RNAcentral's name for it is "non-protein coding lnc-ALKBH4-3:1". The record is from RNAcentral. Lineage: Eukaryota; Metazoa; Chordata; Mammalia; Primates; Hominidae.